Molecule: ribosomal RNA, 466 nt
Filed under: uncultured bacterium
Lineage: Bacteria
Description: partial 16S ribosomal RNA
Rfam family: Bacterial small subunit ribosomal RNA
Source: RNAcentral
GACGAACGCUGGCGGCGUGCUUAACACAUGCAAGUCGAACGGAAAGGCCCUGCUUUUGUGGGGUGCUCGAGUGGCGAACGGGUGAGUAACACGUGUGUAACCUGCCCUUGACUUUGGGAUAACUUCAGGAAACUGGGGCUAAUACCGGAUAGGAGCUCCUGCUGCCUGGUGGGGGUUGGAAAGUUUCGGCGGUUGGGGAUGGACUCGGGGCUUAUCAGCUUGUUGGUGGGGUAGUGGCUUACCAAGGCUUUGACGGGUAGCCGGCCUGAGAGGGUGACCGGCCACAUUGGGACUGAGAUACGGCCGAGACUACUACGGGAGGCAGCAGUGGGGAAUAGUGCACAAUGGGCGGAAGCGUGAUGCAGCAACGCCGCGUGCGAGAUGACGGCCUUCGGGUUGAAAACCGCUUUCGCCUGGGACGAAGCGUGAGAGACGGGAAAGGGUAAAGAAGCACCGGCAAACUACG